Molecule: transfer RNA, 72 nt
Filed under: Trichonephila inaurata madagascariensis
Lineage: Eukaryota; Metazoa; Arthropoda; Arachnida; Araneae; Nephilidae
Description: tRNA-Thr
Source: RNAcentral
CCCAGCCAAUAUGGUGGAUAUGACUCUCGGCUUGUAACCGAGUGGGUUCGGGUUCAAAUCCCGAGUAAGAGA